GAUUAGCUAGUUGGUGAGGUAAAGGCUCACCAAGGCGACGAUCAGUAGCUGGUCUGAGAGGACGACCAGCCACACUGGAACUGAGACACGGUCCAGACUCCUACGGGAGGCAGCAGUGGGGAAUUUUGGACAAUGGGCGCAAGCCUGAUCCAGCAAUGCCGCGUGAGUGAAGAAGGCCUUCGGGUUGUAAAGCUCUUUUGUCAGGGAAGAAACGGUAGAGGCUAAUAUCCUUUGCUAAUGACGGUACCUGAAGAAUAAGCACCGGCUAACUACGUGUCAGCAGCCGCGGUAAUACGUAGGGUGCAAGCGUUAAUCGGAAUUACUGGGCGUAAAGCGUGCGCAGGCGGUUUUGUAAGUCUGUCGUGAAAGCCCCGGGCUCAACCUGGGAAUUGCGAUGGAGACUGCAAGGCUUGAAUCUGGCAGAGGGGGGUAGAAUUCCACGUGUAGCAGUGAAAUGCGUAGAGAUGUGGAGGAACACCGAUGGCGAAGGCAGCCCCCUGGGUCAAGAUUGACGCUCAUGCACGAAAGCGUGGGGAGCAAACAGGAUUAGAUACCCUGGUAGUCCACGCCCUAAACGAUGUCUACUAGUUGUCGGGUUUUAAUUAACUUGGUAACGCAGCUAACGCGUGAAGUAGACCGCCUGGGGAGUACGGUCGCAAGAUUAAAACUCAAAGGAAUUGACGGGGACCCGCACAAGCGGUGGAUGAUGUGGAUUAAUUCGAUGCAACGCGAAAAACCUUACCUACCCUUGACAUGUCAGGAAGUCCGGAGAGAUCUGGAUGUGCCCGAAAGGGAGCCUGAACACAGGUGCUGCAUGGCUGUCGUCAGCUCGUGUCGUGAGAUGUUGGGUUAAGUCCCGCAACGAGCGCAACCCUUGUCAUUAGUUGCUACGCAAGAGCACUCUAAUGAGACUGCCGGUGACAAACCGGAGGAAGGUGGGGAUGACGUCAAGUCCUCAUGGCCCUUAUGGGUAGGGCUUCACACGUCAUACAAUGGUACAUACAGAGGGCCGCCAACCCGCGAGGGGGAGCUAAUCCCAGAAAGUGUAUCGUAGUCCGGAUCGCAGUCUGCAACUCGACUGCGUGAAGUUGGAAUCGCUAGUAAUCGCGGAUCAGCAUGUCGCGGUGAAUACGUUCCCGGGUCUUGUACACACCGCCCGUCACACCAUGGGAGCGGGUUUUACCAGAAGUAGGUAGCUUAACCGUAAGGAGGGCGCUAACCAC
Molecule: ribosomal RNA, 1223 nt
Filed under: Pectobacterium carotovorum subsp. carotovorum
Lineage: Bacteria; Pseudomonadati; Pseudomonadota; Gammaproteobacteria; Enterobacterales; Pectobacteriaceae
Description: bacterial SSU rRNA
Rfam family: Bacterial small subunit ribosomal RNA
Source: RNAcentral